UACGUAGGGUGCGAGCGUUGUCCGGAAUUAUUGGGCGUAAAGAGCUUGUAGGCGGUUUGUCGCGCUCUGCUGUGAAAUCCGGGGCUCAACCCCGGACUUGCAGUGGGUACGGGCAGACUGGAGUGUGGUAGGGGAGACUGGAAUUCCUGGUGUAGCGGUGGAAUGCGCAGAUAUCAGGAGGAACACCGAUGGCGAAGGCAGGUCUCUGGGCCACUACUGACGCGAGAAGCGAAAGCAUGGGGAGCGAACAGG
RNAcentral lists this ribosomal RNA (252 nucleotides) under uncultured bacterium. RNAcentral's name for it is "partial 16S ribosomal RNA". It matches the Rfam family "Bacterial small subunit ribosomal RNA", at positions 524 to 776 of the family's 1533-position model. The record is from RNAcentral.